UACAGAGGUCCCAAGCGUUGUUCGGAUUCACUGGGCGUAAAGGGUGCGUAGGUGGCGAAGUAAGUCGGAUGUGAAAUCUCCGAGCUCAACUCGGAAAUGGCAUUGGAAACUACUUUGCUCGAGGGUCGGAGGGGGGACUGGAAUUCUCGGUGUAGCAGUGAAAUGCGUAGAUAUCGAGAGGAACACCAGUGGCGAAGGCGAGUCCCUGGACGACUCCUGACACUGAGGCACGAAAGCUAGGGGAGCAAACCGG
RNAcentral lists this ribosomal RNA (253 nucleotides) under uncultured bacterium. RNAcentral describes it as "partial 16S ribosomal RNA". It matches the Rfam family "Bacterial small subunit ribosomal RNA", at positions 524 to 776 of the family's 1533-position model. The record is from RNAcentral.